GACGAACGCUGGCGGCGUGCCUAACACAUGCAAGUCGAACGGGAGCAAGUGCUUCGGUAUUUUGCUUUAGUGGCGAACGGGUGAGUAACGCGUGAAUAACCUGCCUUUCAGUGGGGGACGAACAGUCGGAAACGACUGCUAAUACCGCAUGACGCUUCUUGGGGGCGAUCCCUGAGAAGUCAAAGCUUUAUGUGCUGAAAGAUGGAUUCGCGUCUGAUUAGCUAGUUGGUGAGGUAACGGCUCACCAAGGCGACGAUCAGUAGCCGGUCUGAGAGGAUGAACGGCCACAUUGGGACUGAGAUACGGCCCAG
This 311-nucleotide ribosomal RNA is filed under the name uncultured bacterium. Its description in RNAcentral is "bacterial SSU rRNA". It matches the Rfam family "Bacterial small subunit ribosomal RNA", at positions 28 to 334 of the family's 1533-position model. The record is from RNAcentral.